ACCUUGUUAUGGUUUCCUCCAUUGACCGCAAUGCAAGCAUCAUUAUAUGACAUAGGUGGUUUGCAUAAUGUCAUAUAUACUGGAUAAAUGCUGUGAGAAAUAGUUCAAACUCCAAAGAGUUAGUUUCUUUGUACUUUGCCUAAGUUGAUUCGUUUCUUCCUUAGAAAAUGCCUUUGAAACCCUUAUCAAUAGGCUAAUCCAAAGCAUGCACUACAUUUUGCAUUUGCAAAAGCACUUCAUAUUGUAGUUGCAAAGUUGCAUUUAGGACUAGGGCAUUAAAGCACAAUUGCUAACAUUCAGUGACAGUUACACGUUUUGAAUAAAAAGUUCAUAUUAAAAUUUCUUUAAAGGCCACCAUCCUUGUUUCCUUUAUGAGGAUCAUUAAGUUCAUAACAUAAAAUCACAUCUAAGUUGCAGUUGCAUAUUGAAUUUAGGGACUUAGGGUCAUCAAAUCAAAAUAGAUAUCCAUUCAUGCAUUAUGAAUAAAAGUUCAUAAUUUAUUUCUGACAAAAAAGGGGACAUCAAUAGAGACAAUUGCUUGAGUCGCAAUUAUGGCAACAAUUAGCUUUCACAUUCAGUGACUAAGGUCAUUAUAUAAGUUAUCCAACAUUUCUUAGGCAUCACGACAUCCGAUCCCAUAAAAAAUUUAAGGGUUCGCUACUUAUCGAAGCAGAAGAUUAAAGGUUUUCGAAUAAUCAAGAAUGAUAAAAUCGGCAACCCAUCAUUGUUCCCAACAUGUAUCGAUUAUAAAUGAGGCAAAUAUGUUAGAAUGAAACUUCCAAUAAGCAGGAGAUGAAGAUUCUUGGGACAUAACACGUUUCCUCAAUUAAAGUUCAUAAUGUAAAAUCACUUCUAAAGCCACCAUCCAACUUUUUCAUUAUGACUAAAGAAUUCAUUUUCCUCAAGGGUCAUUGAGACAUUAAGUAAUUUAUCCAGCAUUUCUUGGCCAUCAAGACAUUCAAUCCUUACAAAAUUUGAAGCAGAAGAUUAAAAGUUUUGAGUUAAAGAGAGGUUUAGAAUGAGACAUACCUUUAUAGGUGAUUAUGUGAGGCUUAUAUAGUCGAGGACAUGAUAUUGGGCUUGGGCCAGCACUACAGUCCACUAGAACACAUAAUAUUUGAAUUCAUAUCCUACUACCAUAGCAUGAAUAUUCCAGCCAAGUCUCUCAUAAUGAAUAUAUAAAAGGAUGCCAUAUUAAUCAACUUCACCUUGUUUAAACAAACUAACCAAAUUAGAAAACAUAAAUAAUGAGAAUACCUCCAAAAACCAAAUUACAAGAAUUUUAAAUUGUUGGAGCUUAUCACUAUAUUGCGUUUUGGCUAUUAUCUCUUCCUCCUGUUGAAGAACUCCAUCAACUAC
Molecule: long non-coding RNA, 1359 nt
Filed under: Trifolium pratense (red clover)
Lineage: Eukaryota; Viridiplantae; Streptophyta; Magnoliopsida; Fabales; Fabaceae
Description: long non-coding RNA (TPRA_LNC013462)
Source: RNAcentral